GCCACGGUGUCACCGCCUCCAGCUGAGUGUAGAGAGGACGACACAGCAGUGAUUCAGAUAGCUUGUGUCAUAAAACACUGCCACACGUCAUCUUUCAACAGAGCUUAGAAUUAUCCGUGUGUUACUCUGCCAUCUGUGAAACUGUAGCCUUGGAGUAAUUAAGAGCUUACAGGUGUCUGGGUGAGGGCUGAUUCAUUUAUGUUUGGUGGUUCCCUCGUUCAGGUUUUCGAGACAAGAAGGAGACAAUAAAGCUUUAAGAGAGGGAACAGUCUAGAAUUAUCCGUGUGUUACCUCGCCACCUGCGGUACUGUAGCCAUGAAGUAAUCAAGAGAUUACAGGUGUCUUGAUAGUAUGGUUGAGCACUGAUUGAUUGAUUUUUUGGUGGUCUCCUUGUUCAAGAUUUCGAGACAAGAAUGAGACAACGGAAAGCUUUGAGAGAGGGAACCAGUUUGUCAGUCACUCAGUUUGGAAGCGGCGGGUGUGUGAGAAGGAUGCGUGUGUGUCUUGCCUGUCGUCUUUCCUCCUUGCUUUCAAGUUUACCUUUUAUCAGUUUUCUUUAUCUUCCUGUCCGCGCUCCUCAAGAUUCCCCUCCAAGUGUGUUACAAGUGCUGUUGCUGACUCUGCUGGUGAGUUGUGGGCGAGUCGGAUCAUUACUAACAGGUGGCAUCUGCAUCAGUGGUGACAGCGCCGGCACGGGGUGCGGGGUGGGGGGAGACUUCUCAGUGUUAUUCGCUUGACGCACGUGGCAACUACAGGAAUGAUGUUUGGUUAUGAAGUGUUUUUAUGCAAUAAUGUUAAGUCCUUGGUAAAAUGUCAGCAGAGUAAUAAAAACAAAAAGGAAAAAGCUUGACAAAUAACUUAAACUGUAUCAUAGGUUUGAGAUACGGCGCAAGGCUCAAUGCAAGGCGACUGGAUUACUACUAGAAAUGCAUGAGGGACAUGAAGGUCGUGCCUGCACGUGACAGGAGGAAUAAACGACUCGGCGAGAGAUUUCCAGAAUCGACGCCGAGAACCGGCUGCUGUAGCCACCGCGAUUCUUCCCCACAAGCAUUUAGAGGGCGAGUCGGAUCACCACUAUCAGGUGGCAUCUGCAUCAGUGGUGACAGCGCCGGCACGGGGGGCGGAGGGGGGGGGGGAGAACCAUCAGUAUUAUUCGCUUGACGCACAUGCAUCCAGUGGCGGUGGUUCCUGUUGCAGAGUCCGUCCGUCGUCAUUGUUCCUGCCCCGUCCUCUUGGCGUCACCUACCCGGACUCCACUCACCGGACUCCACCAAGGUGCCCUUCCGUGGUGUGCGUCUUCAGGUGGUGCACUCCCAAGAACCAGAUGAUACCCAUACAAAUCGAUUGUCCCAUGUGUAUCAGACUUGUGGACUUGCAGUGUUGCGAGUAACGAGCUUCCUAUUCCUAGUGUUCUAAGUCUUCGGACUCCUCUUCACCAUAAUAAAGUAAAUACAAUUUUUUUUUUUUUUAGGGGAAUGUUCUAGUUGUUCUCAGGAGAGUCCGAGGUAUCACAAAUACUAGUUAGUAUGUUCGAUAUGUACAAGCUAGGCCUGAUUACUACAUUUCCUUAAACGAUGACACGACGCUGCUCGCCCGGCAUCAGACACUUACUUCACCGAACAAUAAAGCUAUAAUAAUCAAGGACACUCCCUCCUGCGAACGACGAAGCCACAAUAAUCAAGGACACUCCCUCCUACAACAACAAACAUACCACUACCAGCCUC
Long non-coding RNA from Scylla paramamosain (green mud crab), 1724 nucleotides. RefSeq lists it as uncharacterized. The transcript is spliced from 6 exons. The record is from RefSeq and is a predicted model, not a curated record. NCBI's taxonomy places the organism in Eukaryota, Metazoa, Arthropoda, Malacostraca, Decapoda, Portunidae.